This 69-nucleotide transfer RNA is filed under the name Benthosema fibulatum (spinycheek lanternfish). RNAcentral's name for it is "tRNA-Arg". It matches the Rfam family "tRNA". Rfam says of the family: Transfer RNA (tRNA) molecules are approximately 80 nucleotides in length. Their secondary structure includes four short double-helical elements and three loops (D, anti-codon, and T loops). Further hydrogen bonds mediate the characteristic L-shaped molecular structure. tRNAs have two regions of fundamental functional importance: the anti-codon, which is responsible for specific mRNA codon recognition, and the 3' end, to which the tRNAs corresponding amino acid is attached (by aminoacyl-tRNA synthetases). tRNAs cope with the degeneracy of the genetic code in two manners: having more than one tRNA (with a specific anti-codon) for a particular amino acid; and 'wobble' base-pairing, i.e. permitting non-standard base-pairing at the 3rd anti-codon position. Lineage: Eukaryota; Metazoa; Chordata; Actinopteri; Myctophiformes; Myctophidae. The record is from RNAcentral.
GGGCAGUUAGUCCAAAAAAGACACUUGAUUUCGGCUCAAGAAAUUGAAGUUAAAAUCUUCAACUACCCU